UGGCAGGUCUAGGUGGGGGGGUAGGGCUCCCCUGUAGUAGCAAACGCUCUAUACGGCUAACCAAAGACCCGUGUUGAGAUAUCGACAUCAAAACAAGCGCCCAUCGGAAUCCGUAGAAGCGACGUCCCGGAAGGCGUCUAAUCGCCGAGACCCUCGCCGGAGGGCAGGGUUAGAAAGCGUAGAGAUCAAACCGGUUAGGCGCGGAAGCGAGCGUCCGUUCGUCUCGUUAGGCGCGCCUCUGGGGUUGCGGCGUGGAGGUGACCCUUGGUAGCGGGGUUUUGAUCGAGAUAUCGAUCGCGGGGACCUGUCA
RNAcentral lists this signal recognition particle RNA (310 nucleotides) under Candidatus Heimdallarchaeota archaeon. Its description in RNAcentral is "signal recognition particle sRNA". It matches the Rfam family "Archaeal signal recognition particle RNA". The record is from RNAcentral. Lineage: Archaea; Promethearchaeati; Candidatus Heimdallarchaeota.